This 1532-nucleotide ribosomal RNA is filed under the name Streptomyces mutabilis. The record is from RNAcentral. Lineage: Bacteria; Bacillati; Actinomycetota; Actinomycetes; Kitasatosporales; Streptomycetaceae.
AGCCGCGCGAUGCCGGGGUCUAUGCCGAGGGCGCGCCGCUCCACCAGGCCGUCCGUGUACAGGGCGAGCGUCGAACCCGGCGCCAAGGGCACCGUGUGGUCGGCGAUCUCCUGCUUCAACGGGAUGCCGAGCAUCGCGCCCGGCUUGGCGUCCAGGGUCUGGACCCGUCCGUCCGGGGUACGCAGCACAGGCGGCGGAUGGCCGGCGGCGGCCCACGUCAGCGUGGGUUCGUCGGGGUGGAAGCGGGCGAUGACGGCCGUGGCGAACAGGUCGGGCUGGAGGUGGUGCAGGAACGUGUGGAGCCGGGUCAGGAGCCGACCGGGGCUGCCGCCGUCCACGGCGUAGGCCCGCAGCGCCGUACGCAACUGACUCAUCAUCACGGCCGCGCGCAGUCCGUGCCCGGUCACGUCGCCGACCACGGCGAUGACGCCGCCGUCGGGCUGGCGGAACGCGUCGUACCAGUCGCCGCCGAUGUUCAGCCCGUGGGUGGCCGGGAGAUAACGCGCCGCCAUGGCGAGUCCCGGCGGGGCGGGCAGCUCCGUGAGCAGGGCCCGCUGCAGCGUCUCCGCGAUGUCGCGGUUGUGCUGGUAGCGCUGGGCGUGGUCGAUAGCGAUGCUCGCCCGCCGGGUCAGCUCGAUCAGCAUCACCGCGUCGUCCGGGUCCCAGCGCUCCCCGGGCGGGGAAAGGGUCACCACGCCCAACGGAGCCUGCCGCGUGGGCAGCGGGAUGCAGAACAGGGGGCGUUCCGGGUCCAGCGCCGAGGGCGGCUGGUCGUCGACUCCGGGCAGGUUGCCCGGAUGCGGAGCGGCGUACUGCGGCCGGCCGGUGCGGGCGGCGACCACGGCGGCGGCCGGGUGGGCAGGGCCCGGCCGGUCGCCGUCCUGGUCGAACAGCCAGACGUCGACGCUCCUGGCGUACUCGGGCACCAGCAGCUCCGGCAGCCGGCGCACGAUCUCGUGGUGGUCCAGGGACGCGGUCAGCACGGCGCUCGCGUCCGCCAGGAAGGUCAGCCUGCGCCGGGCGUUCUCCGCCUCCGUGCGCGCCUUGCGUUCGGCGGCGAACGCCUCCCGCUGGGCACGCCCGGCGGCGUCCAGCUCGGCGUGCAGGGCCACGACGCCCUGGUUGGUCUGCUGCAGCUCCUCGCGGUGGAAGUCGACCAGGUGCUCCUGCUCGGUGAGCCGGUCCAGGACCAGCACCGUGUCCUCGUCGGCCCCCAACAGGGCCUCGGCCAGCGCGGCCGGGUCGUCCGGCGUGACAUCCGCGUCGGCCGUGGGCACCGCUUCCGGGCAGGGCACCGUCACCCGCCACGGCGGCUGACCGGCGGCCGCGGCGUCGCGCGACGGCGUCACCACGGCGUGCAGCACCCCUUGUCCGGCCUCCACCUCAGCGGUGGCGGGGGAGGCCGUGCCCGCCUCCAGCGUGAGCCGCCAGGUACCGCCCUUGGUCAGGCACAGCCGCAGCUGCGCGCCGAGCGAGGACAGCAGCCGGGCGCGCUCCAGGGGCGGCACGCCGUAGGCCGCGGCCAGACGCGC